Paramisgurnus dabryanus is the source of this 1360-nucleotide long non-coding RNA. RefSeq lists it as uncharacterized. The record is from RefSeq and is a predicted model, not a curated record. NCBI's taxonomy places the organism in Eukaryota, Metazoa, Chordata, Actinopteri, Cypriniformes, Cobitidae.
ACUGACACACAGACUUAAAAGAUCUACAAAGAAGACGCUACAGGCUCGGCCGUGGCACUCCAUGACAGCGACCACGUGACAUGAGUCUCUAGCACGACUGACAUACUGACUAAGGGGCCAGUCACACCAAAAGCGUUUAUGGCAGUUGCAGGCGCCUUUUUUGAAUGAUAUUCUAUGGGCAGGGCGCGUUUGUGCGCUGUUUAUGCGCCCCGAGCGCCUUGCGGUUUUUUGCCGCCUGCCGCGCACGCGUUUUUGAAGGAGCGCUGAGAGCGGAGAAGCGCCCGACGUCAUUCGUGUCUUUCCAUUGUCCAAUCGAAUGAGGGGAGAGGCGGGCCUUACGUUGUGGUGAGGGAAGUUUACAGUUGCUUUGAAGAACCGGACACCACUCGCUCACUCUCUCCUGUGUGUUUGUGCACCUCUCACCCUCAAACAAGGUCAGAGCAAGCGUCCUCUUUUUAAAGUUUCUGCUGAUAUGACAGUUAACAGCAAAAGAGCGCUCACGCUUCAAUAUUUGAUUGACAAGACAGCUGACUCGGUGGUUGCUUAGCAAUAUAUUCAUGUAGACUAAAAAGAUCUACAAAGAAGACGCUACAGGCUCGGCCGUGGUACUCCAUGACGGCGACCACGGUGUCUUGUGUCUCUAGCACGACUGACAUACUGACUAAAAAGAUCUACAAAGAAGACGCUAUACAAGCUCGGCCGUGGUACUCCAUGACGGCGACCACGGUGACUUGAGUUUCUAGCACGGCUGACAUACUGACUAAAAAGAUCCGCAAAAUAGACGCUACAGGAUCGACAGUGGGUGACCACAGCUGUUGGAGCCUAUGGUGCAACAAUAAUGAACAAAACCCAAUCACUUGUUUCUAGUGGCUUGCAAGACAUUACCAGAGCUAGCUGGUGUGGCCGCAGCACAGAGUCACCAGAGGAGGAAGAAGAUAAGAUAGAUUACAUUAGUUUAUGUUUUAUUUAUUUAUGUUGCAUUAGUAUAAACUGUAAUGUUGUACAUGUUUAUUUGUUUUCAGCUCUUGGAGUCAAACCCAGUGUACUGGCUGUGGACAAAAUGGGCUUCUGAAGGGGAAUCACCGCUAACAUGAUGUCAGAUGAAGAAGACAAUGCCAAUGAUGGAGUGUCGGGUUGUGAGACCUUUAUCAUCUUCAGCUGCGACUGUGUGUGUUCGAGCUAUGCAGCGUUGAAUUGCUGUCUAACAGAAUGCCACCGCUUACCUACGACCCGAGACAGCAAAAUAAACACAUUUGAUGCCAAAUGUGAUCCCAAGAACAUAAUCUCUGGCUAUUUUUUACUUUUUGUGUGUUUUAUUUUUCCUAUACUUAAUUAAUAAAACUCUUACAUUUUAUCAACA